Molecule: small nuclear RNA, 304 nt
Filed under: Mustela putorius furo (domestic ferret)
Lineage: Eukaryota; Metazoa; Chordata; Mammalia; Carnivora; Mustelidae
Description: 7SK RNA (ENSMPUG00000023117.1)
Rfam family: 7SK RNA
About the family: 7SK was discovered as an abundant small nuclear RNA in the mid-70s but a possible function has only recently been suggested. Two independent studies have found that 7SK RNA binds the CDK9/cyclin T complex (known as elongation factor P-TEFb). P-TEFb activates transcription by phosphorylating the C-terminal domain of RNA polymerase II.
Source: Rfam by way of RNAcentral
GGGUGUGAGGGUGAUCUGGCUGCAACAUCUGUCACCCCAUUGAUCACCAGGGUUGAUUCGGCUGAUCUGACUGGCUAGGUGGGUGUUCCCUUCCUCCUCAGUGCUCCACGUUCGUCCCUCCCGAAGCUGUGAGCUCAGUCGAAGAGGACAAAGUUCCCCGAUAGAGGAGAGGGCCGUUCUUCAGUCAAGGAUAUACAAGUAGCUGUACUCCCCUGCUAGAACCUCCAAACAAGCUCUCAAGUUCUGUUUGUAGGAGGGGGAAAAAAAACCCACUAGAUGUUAAGGAGUAUCUGUGAUAUACCAC